AUUGAACGCUGGCGGCAGGCCUAACACAUGCAAGUCGAGCGAGCGGCGGACGGGUGAGUAAUGUAUGGGGACUGCCCGAUCGAGGGGGAUAACUACUGGAAACGGUGGCUAAUACCGCAUACUAUCGGAUAACCCAUAUGGGAUUAGCUAGUAGGUGGGGUAAAGGCUCACCGAGGCGACGAUCGCUCGCUGGGCUGAGAGGAUGAUCAGCCACACUGGGAUGGAGACACGGACCAGACUCCUACGGAGGCAGCAGUGGGGAAUAUUGCACAAUGGGCGCAAGCCUGAUGCAGCCAUGCCGAGUGUAUGAAGAAGGCCUUAGGGUUGUAAAGUACUUUCAGCGGGGAGGCGUUACCCGCAGAAGAAGCACCGGCUAACUCCGUGCCAGCAGCCGCGGUAAUAC
This 403-nucleotide ribosomal RNA is filed under the name uncultured bacterium. Its description in RNAcentral is "partial 16S ribosomal RNA". It matches the Rfam family "Bacterial small subunit ribosomal RNA", at positions 30 to 526 of the family's 1533-position model. The record is from RNAcentral.